CCAGACUCCUACGGGAGGCAGCAGUGAGGAAUAUUGGUCAAUGGGCGCAGGCCUGAACCAGCCAAGUCGCGUGAGGGAAUAAGGCCCUACGGGUCGUAAACCUCUUUUGCCGGGGAGCAAGGGCGGGGACGUGUCCCGGCCCGGAGAGUACCCGGAGAAAAAGCAUCGGCUAACUCCGUGCCAGCAGCCGCGGUAAUACGGAGGAUGCGAGCGUUAUCCGGAUUUACUGGGCGUAAAGGGAGCGCAGGCGGCGCGCCAAGUCUGAUGUGAAACCCCGGGGCUCAACCCCGGGCAUGCAUUGGAAACUGGCGGGCUGGAGUGCCGGAGAGGUAAGCGGAAUUCCUAGUGUAGCGGUGAAAUGCGUAGAUAUUAGGAGGAACACCAGUGGCGAAGGCGGCUUACUGGACGGCAACUGACGCUGAGGCUCGAAAGCGUGGGGAGCAAACAGGAUUAGAUACCCGGGUACUU
This 468-nucleotide ribosomal RNA is filed under the name uncultured bacterium. RNAcentral describes it as "partial 16S ribosomal RNA". It matches the Rfam family "Bacterial small subunit ribosomal RNA", at positions 331 to 795 of the family's 1533-position model. The record is from RNAcentral.